RNAcentral lists this ribosomal RNA (626 nucleotides) under uncultured Veillonellaceae bacterium. RNAcentral's name for it is "bacterial SSU rRNA". It matches the Rfam family "Bacterial small subunit ribosomal RNA", at positions 9 to 614 of the family's 1533-position model. The record is from RNAcentral. Lineage: Bacteria; Bacillati; Bacillota; Negativicutes; Veillonellales; Veillonellaceae.
GAGUUUGAUCCUGGCUCAGGACGAACGCUGGCGGCGUGCCUAACACAUGCAAGUCGAACGGAGAUUUCAGCAAUGGGAUCUUAGUGGCGAACGGGUGAGUAACGCGUAGACAACCUGCCUUCUAGAUGGGGACAACACUGCGAAAGUGGUGCUAAUACCGAAUGUUGUGUUUUGAUUGCAUAAUCGAAAUACUAAAGGUGGCCUCUAUAUAUAAGCUAUCGCUAGAAGAUGGGUCUGCGUCUGAUUAGCUAGUUGGUGAGGUAAUGGCUCACCAAGGCGACGAUCAGUAGCCGGUCUGAGAGGAUGAACGGCCACACUGGGACUGAGACACGGCCCAGACUCCUACGGGAGGCAGCAGUGGGGAAUCUUCCGCAAUGGACGAAAGUCUGACGGAGCAACGCCGCGUGAGUGAAGAAGGUUUUCGGAUCGUAAAACUCUGUUUUCAGGGACGAAUGUGCCGAUUGUAAAUAAUGGUUGGUAAUGACGGUACCUGACAAGAAAGCCACGGCUAACUACGUGCCAGCAGCCGCGGUAAUACGUAUGUGGCAAGCGUUGUCCGGAAUUAUUGGGCGUAAAGCGCGCGCAGGUGGGAUAAUAAGUCUGAUGUUAAAGUUCGGGGCUCAACC